UACGUAGGUGGCAAGCGUUGUCCGGAUUUACUGGGCGUAAAGAGCGCGCAGGCGGUCUUUUAAGUCGAAUGUGAAAGCCCCCGGCUCAACUGGGGAGGGUCAUUCGAUACUGAUCGACUUGAAGGCAGGAGAGGGUAGUGGAAUUCCACGUGUAGCAGUGAAAUGCGUAGAGAUGUGGAGGAAUACCGAUGGCGAAGGCAGCCCCCUGGGCCAAUACUGACGCUCAUGCACGAAAGCGUGGGGAGCAAACAGG
RNAcentral lists this ribosomal RNA (253 nucleotides) under uncultured bacterium. RNAcentral's name for it is "partial 16S ribosomal RNA". It matches the Rfam family "Bacterial small subunit ribosomal RNA", at positions 524 to 776 of the family's 1533-position model. The record is from RNAcentral.